CUACUUGUAGUGUAAACAGCAAAGCACGCUAGAUUUUCAGCCUGGCAGUAUAUCAAUCCUUUAUCAAGUAGU
RNAcentral lists this transfer RNA (72 nucleotides) under Dendropoma gregarium. RNAcentral's name for it is "tRNA-Glu". The record is from RNAcentral. Lineage: Eukaryota; Metazoa; Mollusca; Gastropoda; Littorinimorpha; Vermetidae.